This 253-nucleotide ribosomal RNA is filed under the name uncultured bacterium. Its description in RNAcentral is "partial 16S ribosomal RNA". It matches the Rfam family "Bacterial small subunit ribosomal RNA", at positions 524 to 776 of the family's 1533-position model. The record is from RNAcentral.
GACAGAGGGUGCAAACGUUGUUCGGAUUUAUUGGGCGUAAAGAGCGUGUAGGCGGCCAUGUAGGUCCGGUGUGAAAACUCGAGGCUUAACCUCGAGAUGUCAUCGGAAACCAUUUGGCUAGAGUCCGGAAGAGGAGAGUGGAAUUCCUGGUGUAGCGGUGAAAUGCGCAGAUAUCAGGAAGAACACCAAUGGCGAAAGCAGCUCUCUGGGACGGUACUGACGCUGAGACGCGAAAGCGUGGGGAGCGAACAGG